CCUACGGGUGGCAGCAGUGAGGAAUAUUGGUCAAUGGGCGCGAGCCUGAACCAGCCAAGUCGCGUGAGGGAGGACGGCCCUACGGGUUGUAAACCUCUUUUGCCGGGGAGCAACGGGCGUCACGUGUGGCGCCACUAAGAGUACCCGGAGAAAAAGCAUCGGCUAACUCCGUGCCAGCAGCCGCGGUAGUACGGAGGAUGCGAGCGUUAUCCGGAUUGAUUGGUUUAAAGGGGUGCGUAGGCGGAUCGUGAGUUCAGUGGUCAAAUUGAGGGGCUCAACCCCUGCCCGCCAUUGAAACUGGAGCUCUUGAGUGGAAGAGAAGUAUGCGGAAUGCGUGGUGGAGCGGUGAAAUGCAUAGAUAUCACGCAGAACCGCGAUUGCGAAGGCAGCAUGCCGGCUUCCGACUGACGCUGAAGCACGAAAGCGUGGGGAUCGAACAGGAUUAGAUACCCGAGUAGUC
Molecule: ribosomal RNA, 460 nt
Filed under: uncultured bacterium
Lineage: Bacteria
Description: partial 16S ribosomal RNA
Rfam family: Bacterial small subunit ribosomal RNA
Source: RNAcentral